RNAcentral lists this ribosomal RNA (306 nucleotides) under Triticum aestivum (bread wheat). Its description in RNAcentral is "partial small subunit ribosomal RNA". The record is from RNAcentral. Lineage: Eukaryota; Viridiplantae; Streptophyta; Magnoliopsida; Poales; Poaceae.
AUGGCCACACAACCACAACUUUUCCAAAGUAAAACUGUAUACACAAGAUUAUUCACAAAAAAACAGGGGAUAACAACAGCAAGCUCACAAUUUCUUUUUCCUUUUUUGAAAUGGGGAUUUAUAUUUAAAAGAUAUAUUUUUACAAUAAAUGAAAAAACGCUUUAUAUAUUAAGAAACUAUAUAUAUAUAUAUGCAUACAAUCAGUCGAAAGUUGGCUCACCACACAGAAUGGGACUGCAUCCCAUAACACACCGAGACUUGACACACAACCACCUAAUUUGUCCCAGACAUGGACGUUUGCAUUAG